This 1959-nucleotide ribosomal RNA is filed under the name Clostridioides difficile. RNAcentral describes it as "23S ribosomal RNA". It matches the Rfam family "Bacterial large subunit ribosomal RNA", at positions 203 to 2185 of the family's 2925-position model. The record is from RNAcentral. Lineage: Bacteria; Bacillati; Bacillota; Clostridia; Peptostreptococcales; Peptostreptococcaceae.
UAAGUACCUGAAGGAAGAGAAAGAAAUUCGAUUCCGUAAGUAGCGGCGAGCGAACGCGGAUUAGCCCAAACCAAUAAAGUUUUCUUUAUUGGGGUUGCGGACAUAUCAUAACGAAGAGGUAUCGUAAUUGAAGAGGUUUGGAAAGACCCACCACAGAAGGUAAUAGUCCUGUAUGUUAAACGAGAAGACUUCAGAUAUGAUCCAGAGUACCACGGGACACGUGAAACCCUGUGGGAAGCAGGAGGGACCACCCUCCAAGGCUAAAUACUACCUAGUGACCGAUAGCGUAUAGUACCGUGAGGGAAAGGUGAAAAGAACCCCGGGAGGGGAGUGAAAUAGAACCUGAAACCCUGCACUUACAAGCUGUGGAAGCACAUUUCUUGUGUGACCGCGUACUUUUUGUAGAACGGGCCAACGAGUUACGUUAAGUAGCAAGGUUAAGCACUUAAGGUGUGGAGCCGUAGCGAAAGCGAGUUUUAACUGAGCGUUCAGUUACUUGACGUAGACCCGAAACCGGGCGACCUACCCAUGAGCAGGAUGAAGCGAAAGUAAAAUUUCGUGGAGGUCCGAACCCACGAGCGUUGAAAAGCUCGGGGAUGACUUGUGGGUAGCGGUGAAAUUCCAAUCGAGCCCGGAGAUAGCUGGUUCUCCCCGAAAUAGCUUUAGGGCUAGCCUCAAGGUGAGAGAUACGGAGGUAGAGCACUGAAUGUCCUAGGGGGUAUUGCACCUACCGAAGACUAUCAAACUCCGAAUGCCGUCAUCUUAUACUUGGGAGUCAGACUGUGGGUGAUAAGAUUCAUAGUCGAAAGGGCAACAGCCCAGAUCGUCAGCUAAGGUCCCUAAAUGUAAGUUAAGUGGUAAAGGAUGUGGGAUUGCACAGACAACCAGGAUGUUGGCUUAGAAGCAGCCACUCAUUCAAAGAGUGCGUAAUAGCUCACUGGUCGAGUGAUCCUGCGCCGAAGAUUUCCGGGGCUAAAACUUACUACCGAAGCUACGGCAUCAGUAAUGAUGGGUAGGGGAGCUUCCCAUACGGGUUGAAGCAUGACCGUAAGGACAUGUGGACAGUAUGGGAGUGAGAAUGUUGGCAUGAGUAGCGAGAUGUGGGUGAGAAUCCCACAGGCCGUAAACCCAAGGUUUCCAGGGGAAGGUUCGUCCGCCCUGGGUUAGUCGGGACCUAAGCUGAGGCCGAAAGGCGUAGGUGAUGGACAACAGGUUGAUAUUCCUGUACUACCGAUAACCGUUUGAGAGAAGGGAUGACACAGUAGGAUAAGCUAAGCACACUGUUGGUUAUGUGUGCCCAAGCAUUGAGGCAGUCAAAGUAGGCAAAUCCGCUUUGAUAAUGCUGGGAUGUGAUGGGGAGCGAAAUUUAGUAGCGAAGUAGCUGAUUUCACACUGUCAAGAAAAGUCUCUAUCGAGGUUAAAGGUACCCGUACCGCAAACCGACACAGGUGGGUGAGGAGAGUAUCCUAAGGCCAGCGAGAGAACUGUUGUUAAGGAACUCGGCAAAAUGACCCCGUAACUUAGGGAUAAGGGGUGCCACCAUCAGGUGGCCGCAGAGAAUAGGCCCAAGCGACUGUUUACCAAAAACAUAGGUUUCUGCUAAGUCGCAAGACGAUGUAUAGGAGCUGACGCCUGCCCGGUGCUGGAAGGUUAAGGGGAUCUGUUAGAGCAAUCGAAGCAGUGAACUUAAGCCCCAGUAAACGGCGGCCGUAACUAUAACGGUCCUAAGGUAGCGAAAUUCCUUGUCGGGUAAGUUCCGACCCGCACGAAAGGCGUAACGAUUUGGGCACUGUCUCAACAACAGACUCGGUGAAAUUGUAAUUCCGGUGAAGAUGCCGGAUACCUGCGACAGGACGGAAAGACCCCAUGGAGCUUUACUGUAGCUUGACAUUGGGUUUUGGUACUACAUGUACAGGAUAGGUGGGAGGCUUUGAAACCAGGACGCCAGUUUUGGCGGAG